UCAGGACGAACGCUGGCGGCAUGCCUAAUACAUGCAAGUCGAACGAGCUUCCGUUGAAUGACGUGCUUGCACUGAUUUUAACAAUGAAGCGAGUGGCGAACUGGUGAGUAACACGUGGGAAAUCUGCCCAGAAGCAGGGGAUAACACUUGGAAACAGGUGCUAAUACCGUAUAACAACAAAAUCCGCAUGGAUUUUGUUUGAAAGGUGGCUUCGGCUAUCACUUCUGGAUGAUCCCGCGGCGUAUUAGUUAGUUGGUGAGGUAAAGGCCCACCAAGACGAUGAUACGUAGCCGACCUGAGAGGGUAAUCGGCCACAUUGGGACUGAGACACGGCCCAAACUCCUACGGGAGGCAGCAGUAGGGAAUCUUCCACAAUGGACGAAAGUCUGAUGGAGCAUGCCGCGUGAGUGAAGAAGGGUUUCGGCUCGUAAAACUCUGUUGUUAAAGAAGAACACCUUUGAGAGUAACUGUUCAAGGGUUGACGGUAUUUAACCAGAAAGCCACGGCUAACUACGUGCCAGCAGCCGCGGUAAUACGUAGGUGGCAAGCGUUGUCCGGAUUUAUUGGGCGUAAAGCGAGCGCAGGCGGUUUUUUAAGUCUGAUGUGAAAGCCUUCGGCUUAACCGGAGAAGUGCAUCGGAAACUGGGAGACUUGAGUGCAGAAGAGGACAGUGGAACUCCAUGUGUAGCGGUGGAAUGCGUAGAUAUAUGGAAGAACACCAGUGGCGAAGGCGGCUGUCUAGUCUGUAACUGACGCUGAGGCUCGAAAGCAUGGGUAGCGAACAGGAUUAGAUACCCUGGUAGUCCAUGCCGUAAACGAUGAGUGCUAAGUGUUGGAGGGUUUCCGCCCUUCAGUGCUGCAGCUAACGCAUUAAGCACUCCGCCUGGGGAGUACGACCGCAAGGUUGAAACUCAAAGGAAUUGACGGGGGCCCGCACAAGCGGUGGAGCAUGUGGUUUAAUUCGAAGCUACGCGAAGAACCUUACCAGGUCUUGACAUCUUCUGCCAAUCUUAGAGAUAAGACGUUCCCUUCGGGGACA
RNAcentral lists this ribosomal RNA (1039 nucleotides) under Levilactobacillus brevis. Its description in RNAcentral is "bacterial SSU rRNA". It matches the Rfam family "Bacterial small subunit ribosomal RNA", at positions 24 to 1028 of the family's 1533-position model. The record is from RNAcentral. Lineage: Bacteria; Bacillati; Bacillota; Bacilli; Lactobacillales; Lactobacillaceae.